RNAcentral lists this ribosomal RNA (253 nucleotides) under uncultured bacterium. RNAcentral's name for it is "partial 16S ribosomal RNA". It matches the Rfam family "Bacterial small subunit ribosomal RNA", at positions 524 to 776 of the family's 1533-position model. The record is from RNAcentral.
UACGAAGGGGGCUAGCGUUGUUCGGAAUUACUGGGCGUAAAGGGCGCGUAGGCGGUGUGUCAAGUCAGGCGUGAAAGCCCCGGGCUCAACCUGGGAACAGCGCUUGAGACUGGCACGCUCGAGUUCGGGAGAGGAUGGUGGAAUUCCCAGUGUAGAGGUGAAAUUCGUAGAUAUACGAAGGAACGCCAAAAGCGAAGGCAGCUCUCUGGGUCCCUACCGACGCUGGGGUGCGAAAGCAUGGGGAGCGAACAGG